Molecule: long non-coding RNA, 3520 nt
Filed under: Cyanistes caeruleus (blue tit)
Lineage: Eukaryota; Metazoa; Chordata; Aves; Passeriformes; Paridae
Description: lncRNA (ENSCCEG00000010741.1)
Source: RNAcentral
UCUCCAUUCACUAGAACGGGCAGCUAAAUCUUGCUAAUUGAAUUGUCCUGGGCAGGUUCUGAGUAAGCCUGGAUUGGAUUUUGUUAAUGCCAAUCAAUGAGUUUGUCCUGGUUUUGCAGAACAAGCCCCGUGUGCUGAGCUGUGCUCGGCUCAGCACGGGCCGUGAGCCACGAUCAGAAACGUGGUCAUGGCACUGAAAGCCAACAAAGGUCAAGCUCUGCUCUGCGAGGAAACCUUGAUACAGAUCUCCAGCACCAGAGGACUGUCUGUUCUGUAAAAUGCAGAGGUGCUUCCAAGAUGACUCUCGCACUCAGAGAUACUCACGGUACUCCCAGGUUGCCGCCAGUGGGAUUUUGGCUGAUUAUCCCAGCCCACAGAACUGGCAGUGUACUCAGAGCUCUUGGCCAGGAACACAGAGCCAUUCCCAAGGCAGAAAAUUAGUCCUUAAAAUUACUGCUCUGGCCACUACAGCUGAGGAACAGUUUCAGUGCUAUACUUGUCCCUUGACCACUGUAUCCUGUGAGAGUUACUGAUAUUACAAGCACAGCUCUGCAAAAACUCCUUGAAAGAAGGAUGAAGAACUAAGCCACAGAAGCUACUUCAAUUGCUACUUCAAACUCCCUGGGGAGUGAUCUGAGCUCAGGGAUGCAGUGUGGUCACACCCAGGCUGUCCAGAGCACACAGACCAUACACACACAAGACAGAACUUCCCUGCAGAUCUCCUCACAGGAUAUCCUGUGUGGUAUCUCUGUGGCAGCCAGACUUGGUUAUUUUAUAACUUUCAUCAGUUUAUGGUGUCACGAAUAAUUUCUGUUUCCUGCAGCCCGCCAGAACAGAAUUUUCAUGGCAUGAGACAGACAUUAUGUGCUGUGUACAUCUGUGUAUCACAGUGUAUGGGAGUGUCCAAGCACCCUGCCUGGAGAGGGUUACAGGGCUGUGUAGAGAUCCAAGCCAGGUACAUUUAUCUGUUCUGCCUACUGGUAGUCUGGAAGCAAAAUUUUCCCAAGAAACACAUGAUGGUUUCUAAUGGAACUAGCUAAUCCACUGAUGAAGGAAGCCCAGAAGUGAACUGCACUGUGUCUGUGCAGGAUAGACUGCCAUGGGACCACAAUGGAUGAAGGAAGUGGGGGCAUAGCCAUUUGAGAGUAUAGACACAUCCAGAUGAAAAAAGAUGUGUACUCAUGAGCUGAAGGAAGUUACAAAUGCAUUUAAGUCUGGGUUCUGCAGAGGAGUCCACAGAGACAGAACAAAGGUAGUGCCCUAAAGCAGCCAGUGAGACUGUCCCAAGAGUCUGUGAAACACAGGAACUUCAGCUAAAGGAGAGAGUGAUGCCAAGCACCUACUCCUUUGUUUCUUCUUCUACAUGUGUGACUGUUUUUUGCUUAUUACCACUGAUGUCUUAAGCAUCAGACACCAACUGAGUCUCCAUAAACAGUUGAUUUGGAAGAUUAAAUAUAUGUGGUCAAUUCUGUCUAUGAAAAUUCUUUUGAUGUACAGCUACAGCAGCGAGAAGGAAUCUGCAGCUGCAAGCUGAGGAGCAGGAAGGAAAAAUACAGAUUUUAUAGAUUUAUUUAUUUAAAACAAAUUCCUUGAUUAAGCAUUGCAGUCAGAUCUGUCAGAUGUGCAAGUCACACUAUGUGAGUGAAGGCUGAAGUGCUGAUUCUUGCUUAGAGUUAUUCUAAAGCCAAUUGUCACUUCCAUGACUUUAGUACACUAGCUUCUCUCAGCUGUCCUACACGGGCAGUGAGGGAAAUGCUACAAGAUUCAUCCAAUCCAGGGCAAAAUGGCUGGGUCAAUGGGCUGAAGCCAAUUGCACAAGGUUUAACAAGGUGAGUCCUGAACUUGAGUCACAACAACCCCUGCAGUGACAUAGGCUGGGGAAGAGUGGCUGGAAUGCAGCCCAGAGGAGAACCUGGAUGGGGUGCUGGUCAACAGCAGCUGAAUGUGAGCCAGUGUGUGCCCAGCUGGCCAAGAAGGCCAAGGACAUCCUUUGCUGUGUCAGCAAUAGAGUGCCCAGCAGGACCAGUGACCAUUGUCCUGCCUGUAAAUCUCAUCUCCACAACAGACAGAGCCUCCAUCUGAAUGGAUUACUCACCUGGACAUCAUAAGGGGUUAUUCUUCACAGGUUUUGACACCCAAGGUUGUCCUGGUUAAGACACCUAAUUCCAAAAUAUACUUAAUAGUCAUUAAAACAGCAUACAUGAUGGACUGAGUUCUCGAGGGUCAGCUGAAAUUCAGCUCCUCAGAAUUUCCUCCUGACAGAGCUGGUGAUUUACCACUCUGGGAGCUCACUCUUCCAUGCUCAGGUCUCGUGAUUGAUUGGGAAGAGAAACUGGACAGAAAAUUUUUGUCUUCUGAUUCUAUUAGCCUGGGACAUAUCUGAAUGUAAAGAUUUGCAACACUGGAAUUUGCCCCUGCACCUGAGAGAAGCACCCUGAUAUGCACUCCAGUCAUCAGGGGGCAUCUACUGUGAAAUUGUGGUGGGCUGGCUUGUCUGGCCACCAGGUGUCCACCAACUCUGUAAAUCAAAGACAAUGUAAGGAAGCACCACCUUCGAGUUGGCUCUAGCAACAUCUUUAGUGUUAGCAGACAACAUCACACUCAAUGUGGCAAGACAGAAAUGAAAGUGUAAGUGAGGUGGUUCUGGGGUAUGUACACCUUGACUUGCUACUCUACAGGAUAAUACCAGAUGACUGUGUUGGGUUGUAUUAAUUUUUUCUCUAUGCCAAACAUGCAGCCUGUAGGAUGUGUGUGACCAUCAGGGCAAAUCAGACACCCAGAGACCUUGCCUUGCUCACCUCAUUUUUUUUUGCCAUGAAGAAAUCUGAAACAGGCAUUUGACUACGUAUGUAUUUCAUAUUCCUAAUGUCUCAAGGAAACAUGGGAUUACAUACACACAGCUAAACUUUCUUUAAUGAAUAAGAAAAACAAUAUUUCCCAAUGUGGUCUACUUAGCAGGAAGGUCUCUGCUCAGCCAGUGUAGUGGAAUUGUACUUGACGAGUAAAAUUGUAAAGCAGCAAUCUAAACAGCAGCUUCUUCCAAGCAGUAAUGCCACAAUUAACAGAAGUGUUUCUCCAUUCCCCAAAAACAUAGCUGCUUGUGAAGCCCACUUAAAAUGAUGACAUCUGAUGACUUGCAGACCAAACACAAAACAGUUAUUCCAUACUUUUACAUGAAGUAGAAGAUAAUUAUUUUUGGAAUUUUUAUUAAGAGACCCAGAAGCUGCAGUAGUUUAUGCUUCUACUGACGCAGAUAUAUCUGAGGCAUUAAAAAUGGUGGAUAAAGGAGCAGUUCAGUUUACAUUUUCUUUCCAUUCUGCUACUGCACAGAGCUGGAGAAAGCUCAGUCCCACUGUUCCUACAAAGUGAUAUUAUCCUUACAGCUACUUGUGUCAGCCAAGCCAUAUGGAUGACCUUGGUUUGGGUUAUAUUUUCACAAAAUUUUAAAAACAACAGGAUCAUUUCCUUUUGUUUAUCUAUUCCCUUGUUCAAAUAAAAGAAGUUGAAAUAAUAUGAAACA